RNAcentral lists this ribosomal RNA (376 nucleotides) under uncultured bacterium. Its description in RNAcentral is "bacterial SSU rRNA". It matches the Rfam family "Bacterial small subunit ribosomal RNA", at positions 524 to 898 of the family's 1533-position model. The record is from RNAcentral.
UACGUAGGGUGCAAGCGUUAAUCGGAAUUACUGGGCGUAAAGCGUGCGCAGGCGGUUAGGUAAGUUUGAUGUGAAAUCCCCGGGCUCAACCUGGGAACUGCAUUGAAGACUGUCUGACUAGAGUACGGCAGAGGGGGGUGGAAUUCCACGUGUAGCAGUGAAAUGCGUAGAGAUGUGGAGGAACACCGAUGGCGAAGGCAGCCCCCUGGGCCGAUACUGACGCUCAUGCACGAAAGCGUGGGGAGCAAACAGGAUUAGAUACCCUGGUAGUCCACGCCCUAAACGAUGUCAACUAGUUGUUGGUAGGGUUAAACCUAUUAGUAACGUAGCUAACGCGUGAAGUUGACCGCCUGGGGAGUACGGUCGCAAGAUUAAA